Molecule: small RNA, 344 nt
Filed under: bovine gut metagenome
Description: cspA thermoregulator
Source: RNAcentral
AAUUAGACGAGGCCUUAUAAAAAAUAAUUUUUAUUUUUUUAUUCUGUCUAGUCUUUUUAAGGCCGGAUGAAAGGAAGACCCGCGGAAAAUUUCCGUGAAAUAUAUUUACUGGAGGGUAGUUGUUAUGGAAAAAGGAACCGUAAAGUGGUUCAACAAUCAGAAGGGUUACGGCUUCAUCACCGAUGAGACCGGCAAAGAUGUUUUUGUCCAUUAUUCAGGACUGAACAUGGAAGGCUUCAAGUCUCUUGACGAAGGCCAGGAAGUGGAAUUCGAAGUCAUCGAAGGCACGAAGGGCCCCCAGGCUGUCAACGUAACCAAGCUCUGAUAUCCAAAAAAAGACAGAG